CCUACGGGAGGCAGCAGUGAGGGAUAUUGCACAAUGGACGAAAGUCUGAUGCAGCGACGCCGCGUGGGCGAAGAAGGUUUUCGGAUCGUAAAGCCCUUUUCUAUGUGACGAGAUAGGACGGUAGCAUAGGAAUAAGUGUCGGCUAACUACGUGCCAGCAGCCGCGGUAAAACGUAUGACGCAAACGUUAUCCGGAGUUACUGGGCGUAAAGCGCGCGCAGGCGGUCGAGUAAGUUGCCUAUGAAAGCUUCCGGCUAAACCGGAAGAGGCUAGGUGAAACUGCCCGACUAGAGAGAGACAGAGGGAAGUAGAAUUCCGGGUGUAGUGGUGAAAUGCGUAGAUAUCCGGAGGAAUACCAGUGGCGAAGGCGGCUUCCUGGGUCUCAGCUGACGCUGAUGCGCGAAAGCGUGGGUAGCGAACGGGAUUAGAAACCCCGGUAGUCCACGCUGUAAACGAUGUACAUUAGGCGUUCGCAUGCGUUCAGUAUGUGAGUGUCGAAGCUAACGCGAUAAAUGUACCGCCUGGGGAGUACGGUCGCAAGGCUAAAACUCAAAGGAAUUGACGG
Molecule: ribosomal RNA, 564 nt
Filed under: uncultured bacterium
Lineage: Bacteria
Description: bacterial SSU rRNA
Rfam family: Bacterial small subunit ribosomal RNA
Source: RNAcentral